CGUAGCGCAUCGAAAAUACGUCAUCUCUUAGGGACUGCAGGCCUGUUGCUUUUCCCGAGACUGAAAAGACCCAAGACUCCUGAUUUGGCUAGACUGGACAGUGAACGUGAGAGAUCGCCUGUUUCCUUCUAUCCAGGACUAGGAUUCCAAGUGCACGCCUUUCUUAUUAUGUGGGUUUUAGGGAUCUUGCUUGGGUCCUCAGGCACCUUAGGAAGUGAGUUGUUUCCCUCUAGCAUGAAAUGAUAAUCGAUAAUAAUUAUAAAACUGCACAACCGGAUACACAAACCUUGGAUCUGGAAUCCUGAAAUGGGAAAGAGUUUCAGCUACCUCCUGAUGCGGCUCAGUUUAUCGUUGCUCUGCUCGUCCACAGCAAGACACUCUCUUUAUAUGGGAGUUCCAUCCUGAGUCUCUGAUUUCCCCAGGGAGUGAAGUAUAACCAACUGAAUAUCAUUCCCACUUCAUCAUAAAGACAAGCCCUUCAGAUAAGAUGAAACUCACUGAAGUCUUCCACAACACCCUGAACAGUAGAAGAGCUCCUAAGAAAAUAAUUAAACCCUGCACAUUGAGCUGUAUCAGACAAGACUUACAAUGACUGAGAUGCUAAACAACAUAACAGAUUACAUGGAAUUCCUACUCAUGGGAUACCCAGAUGGGCAAGUGCUACAGACCCUGUGUACCACACUUUUCUUCUUGACUUACCUUAGGAGCACUAGUGGGAAACUUCCUCAUUAUUGCCCUCAUCACUGUAGAACAGCAUCUCCAAACCCCUAUGCAUUUCUUUCUGAAGAAUUUGCCCCUGAUUGAUAUGUUAUAUUUCUGUCACGGUUCCCAAACCCAUCACGAACUCUGUGAUGAACACACAUUCUAUCUCCUUCCUGGGAUGUGUUUUACAGGUUUUCUUUGUUAUAUUUUUGGCAGGGACAGAGUUUGCCUUGCUUUUGGUGAUGUCCUAUGACCGCUAUGCUGCCAUUUGCUUCCCUCUACACUAUUAGGCCAUCAUGAAUAGAGGUGCCUGUGUUGAGAUGGUGGUGGCAGCAUGGCUCAGUGGGUGUAUCUAUGGGUCCCUCCAUGCCACAGUAACAAUCGCUGUCUAGUUCUGUGGUCCAAAUGUAGUGCAUCAAUUCUUCUGUGAUAUCACUUCUCAGAUUUGCUUGUUUUAGAGACCAAAUUCUAGGAUUUGUGUUUAUCAUUACUAGUAGUUGUUUUGCUUUCAUAUGUUUUACAUUGAUGGUUAUUUCCUAUGUUCAUAUUUUCACUAUUAUCCUAAGAAUUCCUUCUAUACAAGGGAGAUUUAAAAUUUUCUCCACGUGCAUACCCCAUCUUACUGUUGUGACCUUAUUUCUGUCUUCUGGAUUUGUUGCAUAUUUAGGCUCAACAGUAAAAAUCUCCAAUCUCUGUGUGGCUUGGGUAUCAAAGUGAUUGUAGCCUCGUAGAAAGAGUUUGGCAAUAUCCCAUCUGCUUCUAUUGUGCAAAACAGUUUGAGGAGUACUGGA
Cricetulus griseus (Chinese hamster) is the source of this 1493-nucleotide non-coding RNA. Lineage: Eukaryota; Metazoa; Chordata; Mammalia; Rodentia; Cricetidae. The record is from RefSeq and is a predicted model, not a curated record.